AAAAUGAGUCAUAGAGCAGUAAGCUUGUAAUAUAACUUAAAUACCAUCUAAUUUGUUCACUGACCUUUACAGAUAUGGAAACUGAGCCCUCACACAUGGACUGAAUUCUGACAAGCAGAGGAUAAAGGCAGAACAACAUGACUGAAGGGAAGAUGCUUUUGUGAUAUAUCCCAGCAUGCUGAUGACCCCAAGGAGGACCACUGGAUACCUAGCAAGGAGCUGGCUGCAGCAUACCAUGAAUCCUCACAGCAACUUAAUGAGGAAAAAGAAGAACUGAUUGAAGAGUGGCAACCAGAACCUCUUGUUCCUCCUGUCCCAAAAGACCAUCCUGCUCUCAACUACAACAUCGUUUCAGGUUCCUCUGGCAGCCCUCCUCAAGGACCUCUGUGAGACAAAGUCAGAAAUGACUUCACUGGAGACCAAGAGAGCCCACAGAGCUCUUCCUGCUGCUUCUUCUACCCUUGUACUCACUCGGCUCUCUAAAUUUGUCUCAGCUCCAGGUGCCCAGGAUGAAAAUCUGUGAAACAAAGCAUCAGG
Molecule: long non-coding RNA, 537 nt
Filed under: Homo sapiens (human)
Lineage: Eukaryota; Metazoa; Chordata; Mammalia; Primates; Hominidae
Description: HSALNT0150944
Source: RNAcentral